Molecule: long non-coding RNA, 7728 nt
Organism: Chelonoidis abingdonii (Abingdon island giant tortoise)
Lineage: Eukaryota; Metazoa; Chordata; Testudines; Testudinidae
Source: RefSeq, a predicted model, not a curated record
AGCACAGCCUGGGUGUCAGUGGAGAGGGAAAGCCAUACAAAUCAUGACACAGACAAACAAAUGGCAGCCCGAGAGGUCACUGGAAACAGGGCCAAGAACCAUUGCUGUGGGACAUCAAUAGAAACAUGCCUGCUCAGUAAUGAUUUUCUGUUUGAGACCUAUCAGUUAGCCAGUUUUUAAAUCUAUGUAUGAUGUAUCACGUUGAUGUUGUAUUGCUCUAGUUUCUUAAUCAAAAUGUAGUUGGGUAAUUAGUCAAAUGCCACACAGAAGUCCAAGCACAUUACACCAACACUACCACCUUCAUCAACUACAUUUGUAAUAAAGAAAAAGGAUAUCAGCAUAAACCCAUGUUGAUUGGCAUGAACUGUUUUACCCUCUUAUGUCUUCAUUAAUCAAAUCCAGUACCAGCUAUUCCAUUAUCUUACCUGGAAUCAAAGUCAGGCUGUCACUUACUUGGGUCAUCUUUUUUUAAAUAUUGGCACAUUGCUGGCUUAACUUCCAGUCCUCUGGAACUUCCCCGGUGUUCCAACACCUAUUAAAAAUCAACAUUAAUGGCCCAGAGUGCUCCUUGCCCAGCUAUUUUAAAACAGUUGGAUACAGGUUAUCUGGAUCUCCUGAUUUAAAGAAGUCUAACUUUUGUAGCUGCUAUUUAACGUUCUCCUUAAUUACUGGUGGAAUGGAAAAUAGUUGAUCAUUAAAUGAUAUGAAUAUAUCAUCUGGCUCUUGUCCAAACACAGAACAGAAAUAUUUAUUGGACUUUUCUGCCUUCCUACAUUACUAUUGACAAUUCUAUUUCCAUUUGGAAAUGGACAAAUACCUUUGGUAGCAUUCCUUUUGUUCCUGAUGUACUUCAGAAUACUCCUCCUCAUUUUCCUUAACGCUGCUGGCCACAGAUUUCUCCUUGUAUUCUUUUGCUCCUUUGUCAGCUUCUACAAUUACACGCAAUUCUGCCAGCACUAUGAUUUAUUAUUUCUCCCUCAUUCUUAGGAUCAUUAGCCUGGAAAACGCAUCUAUUUCGAGGGCUAAUAAUAAUACACUUGCAUGAUGUCUUUCAUUUAUUUCAAAGCACUUUAUAAAAUAUGAAUGAAUUUAAACCUCAACACUUGUGUGCGAUAAUAGGUAUCCUCAUUUUAUGGGCAAAGAGGAUCAGAGAGUUUAAAAUUACUUGUCCAAUCUCCCACAGGAAAUCUAUGCAGAGCCAAGAUUAGAACCUAGAACUGCUGACUCUGAGUCAUGUGCUGAGGCCAUGCUAACACAAAUGCCAGGGUGGCUGGGUACACAGGUUUAAGGCAAAUGGCCCUAAAGAUGCUAUGGGCUGAAUUAUUAGCCUUUCACCCUCUAAAACUGGGUUCAGAUGUGGAUUACUUACAGGUGAAAUAAAGUCUCAAAUCAUGUCCCCAGUGAGUGGGUUUUUCUGCUCUUAAGAAAAUACAGGAUAUAGAUAGCAGGGAGUGUUGCAGAACAGGACUGGGAGAUAUGGACAGCUUUAGGGGCCCAAUGUAUGAACACGGUAGGUCAGGGCUGAGGUACACUAGCAGAGCUGAGAGAGCUUCUCCUGAAUUCUGGCAGUAUUCUCGGCUUGACUUUCCUGAGCUUUACAUUUAUCAUUUUUUUAAAAAAGCCUCUCUGCCCUCCAAAGUGAAAACAGCAAAAUUCUUCUGCAAAGGGGAAUGGGUAAGAAAACCAACAAUGUUCACCACAGAGAACCAAUAAACACAGACUCAGGACACAUCCGACUGGUGUUUCUCUCUUUUAUUUAAAAACAGUGCUUCAUUACCAUUUGCAAAGGGUGAGGAAGGGCUCCUCCCUUGCUUAGAGUUUAUAAAAGCCAGCAACAUGAUCAAUAAUUUAUACACAUGGAUAGUAAUACAAAAAAAAGGAAUAAAAGCUAAAGAUCUAACUACUCCGACCUUCACAAUUCCAGCUACUUGAUAAUAAUAGGAGUAACCCAAUGAAUACUGUAUGGUCUGAAAGCUACUAUACAAUAUGAUACUUAAUGAGGGGGGGCAGGAAGUUAGAGACGGUCACAAAGCCCUGGGAUGCAGGUACUGCUUCUCCAGAGUCAGCAAAGAAAUGGGACCCUGAACAAGCAGCUUGGGCGUCCUAGGAAAUGAUCCAGGGGAGAGGAAAGCAUCCAGUUUUGAUGCAUCCUAUGCCCCGAGGGUACCUGGCAAUGGAAAGGUGGUGGGGAGACUGCAUGAAGGGGCGAAGUCAGUCGUUGCCACUGGAGGUUCCGUGAAAUUUUAGCCUUGCAUUGAAAAGCUCCAAGUCUCAGGCAGAUCAGCCUGUGAGGUCAGUAAACUCUCCACCAGCUCGAUAUCGCUCUACAGCCCUGGUUCUCGUUUGCUAUCGGCCCCAGGUUUUUUUUUUUUUUUUUUCUCCAGCUAUUUACAAGCAGAAUUGAUAACAUAAAAAGAAAAACAAAUCAUACCCCCUGGGGUAAAAGAGGAUUACUUCGUCACUUGAGAACGCAGCCAAACCCAGCUGCCAAAACUACAACACGCGCGCACACAAAAAAUACUGUCAAGAGAAAAAUAGAAGAAAGUGACCGAAGCUGAGACUAUUUGUGUGGGAGGCCAGAUUCCCUUAACGAGAUCACUCCUCAGGGAAGCAACAAACUGACCCCCUCCCACCCACCCCCAAAAAUCUGGCAAAAGAGAGAUUUAUUGAUCAAUCAAUCCUUAGAUCACUGGCACUUUGCAGAUUGCCAGCCAAGUGAAUACUCAGGUGGACGGCUUUACACAUCAGCAAUCUCCUUAGAGGCAAGGUUCUGGCUGACGUAUUCUUACUCUGCUACCAGUCUUUGCCGACUGGCUGCACUGGCACUGACCUUAUGUGUCAUCUUUCUGUGUAAGCUUUCACCAGUUGCUGCCAGAAACAUGGGUAGGACAACAACUGCAGGUGGUUACAACACUUCUGGAAUGUCCCCCUCGACUGUUAGUGGUGGAAACCGAUUCUGGCAUUGGACGUCUUAGUUCAAUUUGCUUUGUAACCUGUAUGUGUUCUGGGGAGGGGUGUUAUAUUGCAUACUGCAAGCUACAGGAAGGACUCCACCCUGGAGGACACCCAAAGCCUACUUGGAAAGGGCCCCAUUUCACACUCUGGCUAUCACAUUCCUGCAUGCCUUGUCAACUGGUGAUUUCAUUAUAGAAUAAAGUAAGUUGGGGGGGGGGAUCAGUAGGGUGGGGACAAGGAGGGAGGAGCUUUUCAGACAGUAACAUCACCAAAAAAUAGUGUUUUAUGCAACAAAGAAUCAAGUCUCACUGGUGUAUACUACAAAAUGUUUGACAUUUUCAAGAGCAUGACAAAAUAAAAACACACCGAAGUUUACAUUGGAUGUUCACCUUGUUCACUAGUUUGUUUUUUUUGUCCUAUUUUAAAACAGUGCAAACAAGUAACACACUCUUUAAAAACCACUUCCCCCUCCGCCAAGGCAUGGACUCCUCACAUGUGGCCAUAUUAAAGGGGCAUAAGCAGCAAAUUAUUUUCCAAGCUGCUCGUGUGGUUUCCCUUUGGAGCUGGACUCAGCAAAAGAAGAGUUCCCCAGAGCCAGUAUUUUUUUCCCUUCUUGAAUUCCUAAGUGCUCCCCACACCUAUUCUCUACUUGUCUUCUCCUUGGGGACUGGGGUACAAGGGCGAUAUAUGAAGAUUUGCAAAGCCCCUUAGAUGCCUACAUAGCAGAGCUCAAAAAACCACAAUAGCCAGGACCUCAUUUAAGAAUGAUUCUCACCAGAAAGCUGCUAGGCUAUGAAACAGUUUUAUAAACAUUUUAUACCAGUUAGGCCCUACCUAUAUUGGGGUUUCAGACAUUACUUAGAUCUCAUAUAGAACUCUUCAUCCAUGGUUUCAAAGGGCUUCACAAAAGGAAGAUAAAGUAUCACUAUCCCUGCUUUGUGGAUGGGGAAAACUGAAGCACAGGAAGGUGAACUGACCUGCUCAAGGUCACAUUGCAGGAUCAACGAUAGAAGCUAGACUAGAUUAGACUAGACCAGACCAGACCUCAAGUCUUCCACUCCCAGCCUAGUGCUCCAUCCCACUGGACCAUACUACCCAUGGCAGUGGGCUAUCUAAACAAGAAUAUAAUUUAAAAGCAUGGUUUUGGCUAACAUGAUUGAACUUUACUGUAGACAGGACCUCCAUGCCUGCCUGCCUGCCCUACAAAUGGCUGGUUAUAAGAAGUUGGUAAUUGGUACACUAAAGGCAUGUCUACAUACAAAAGUUGUACUGCUUUACCUAUGCCAGUGUAGUUAAAGUCACAUAACACCCCUAGUGUGGAUGCAAUUCUAUAUAUAUAUAGGUGCCUUAUACUGAUAAUAGCUCAUUCCCAUGAGGGAAGGGGAAUAAGCUAUGCUGGUAUAAUGCACCUUUAUACCAAUAUAAAUGCACUCGCAUUAGGAUUGCACCAGUAUAACAAUAGCACUAAAAUCACUCCCCUAACCAACCUGGUUAUACUGGGACAAACACCGGGGGAGGCAGACCAGACUGAAGUGGUUAAGAAGCUGAGCCAAGGUCUGUGUGAGAGAAACUCUUGAACACUGAUCAUUACAGGGCAAAAGUACUCGAUGUUCUGAGUGAUAAAAGCCUGCCCCAUUUCUAUCCCUAUAAAAAGCCUGAGUAUAAUUAAUUCUGCAUAGGGAGAUACAGGUCUUCCUCAAUUUUUGGGACAAUGGAUACUUCAAAGAUUGAUACACUCAAGGCUUGGCUAAUCUGAAUGGAAAUAGGUCCUUCGUGUCAUGAGCCAAUUCAUUAAAUGUCAUCUGUGGAAUCAGAGUCAUUGUGUUUGCCAAGUAGGACGGAGGAAGGGAUGAAGAGCUCUUGCUUGCCAUGGCCCAAAAUUCAUAGGCGCAACCCUGCUACAAAAAUCCAGCUGUGGUAAAAGCUGUCUGGGAGGUCUUGGUUUUGGAAAGUAUCACCUGGACUGUAUGGAUGGUAAAUGUCUAAAAUUACAGAACCAACUCCUGUAGUCAGCAGGGCAAAGGGCUUAGUUUCCCCCAGCCCAGUCACCACAGAGUAGGAAUUAGGGAAACCCAAGUGCUAAUACACUGAGGGGACUUGAACAGAGAUUAAUAGACCAGGGCAGCCCCCACUGAUGCAUUAGGGGCCUGGCCUUUGUGGAUCAGAAGUUGGUGACAGUAGGUGCUAAAGCAUUAGGUGACCCACCCUCUGCGAAACCCAGGCACUUCUGUGACAAGAACCCAGAUUCUCAGCUCUAAGCUGGGUUAUAUUUGCCAAGCACAGACCCUGCUUAAAAGCAGAAGUGUGUUCAGCCCUCCCUACAGAUGGAGAUGAAAGGGGGCAACCAACCACAUGCUGCAUUGCCAUGGUGCAGGAGGGCUCUUGAGAAAGUGGAGCUUGACCUUUCAAAAGCUACAGUCAGAACCAGCUGAACUGAGACACAUGAAAGGGGCCGAAGCUCAAGCCGCUGUCACUGCAGCGCUAAGCAAGCUGUGUCCCCUUGCCCUCUCCCAUUCUGUAGCCCCACAGCAUCAGCAAUUUCUCCUUCCUGAGAGUAAGAGAAGAGAGAUCCUGUUUUCACUCCCCCCACCACUCUAGGCUAUGAUGAACUCCGUUUACGGCUUUUGGUGCAUCUCAGCUCCAGAAAGGAGUCUCCCACUCCCAUCUGCCACAUGAUGGAAAUUGGCUUCCCUUCAAUAUGACACUAGAAGUUCUACUGGAAAUUUUUUUUUACCCACUCAACCAGUAAAAGCCAAAAAUCCCACCGUCCCCUCAUUUCCUUGAUUUUGUGAAAGCCCCAACACCCCACUCCCCCCACUCCGUUUUCAAUCUAACUAAAAUAUUUAUAUACAAACAACAAAAAUUGUCAUAACUGCAACAAACCAAACUUUGGCUUGAAAAAACAAAACAAAAAACAAACAAAAACAAAAAAAGUGGCCAACAGGCUGGCAGUUUGGUGUCCCCUUGUUCUAGCUAUUCUUCCACAGAAUCAAUAGCUUUAGGGUCUCUAGCUUAACUCAUGUCUCCCCGAUCCUUCUUACUUCAGGCACCUCCUCCCUGCCGACAUAGGGAGGACGUGUGCUGAGGGGAGGAGCAAAGAUGUGUGUUGUGCAUGGCUGGGUCAGUGCACCUCCCAGACAGCCCUGCUCACUUACAAUGCUUAAAGUUCAACGCAUCUGGUUUCCUAUUCUGAUAUCAACUGUUGAUAGAGAAGCAAGUGUAUGGUGGCAGGAGUCGAAAGGCUCUAGCUACAAAUCCACACCCCACACUGCCCUUUCUGGGAGUGAAAAGUCACCCCUGUACCAAUUCAGCUAGAUAAGGGAGCCAAAUGGAAUUGUGCUUCUUUCUCUGUUUCUCUAGUGUCUAGGGUUAGAUAAAGCAUCAGAGAAUCUGCCUUUGAUUGCAAGAGUUGCUCGGAGCAUAGCAAUAACUAACAACUAGAGGGGAGACUAUUCCUCUGAGUUCUAAAAUCAAGCUCGGCUGUUGACAGCAACGACUCCCUGCCACAGUGCUACUCCUUGCAGCAACCUAUAAAAUGCCUGCUUUUUAAAAACAGAAGAAUCACUCUAGUUACAAGAGCAGAAGAAAGAUGGCCUUGGGAGCCACGGAGCCCUUCUAAAUAGUCUCUCUGCUUUAGAAACUUACAGUCUGUAGUGUAAAUGUGGACUGAGCAGUCCAGGUGCUCUUUGUAGGAUACUGAGACGCUGGGUGAAUGGCCACUGGGGCUCUAGAUUAAAUAUUUAAGGGCCUCAAAUAGAUCUAGGAGAUGGGAGGUUCCUAUGACUUCAGAGCUUGUACAAACGGCUUCUGCCUGCCUCCAGACAUCUGAGCUAUCCAAAAUCACUUCAGGAACAGCAUUCUGAAAUAAAACUCUCUCUUCCCCUCACACACACUCCCCUGUCCCUUUGCAGCUGAUCCAUGACUCAUUUUUUGUCUUCACACUACUUUAAUGAUUUAUUUGCAGCAAUGCCUACGUGGCUCAUGGUGAACAGAGAGAGGGACCUUGAAUGCUGAACCUCAGAGCAGCUCAUUGUGGCACUAAUGCAGGGCUCUUCAGCCAGCUUUCUUCCUCAUAAAGCUGCAAACACUCGAUAAAUCUAAUCACUCCUUCAUGUCCGAGAAACAAGCACUCUCAAUCAUUGCUUCAAGCUCUGCCGUUACUGCCCACGUUUGCAGCAUCACACCACCCAAUCCUCAAGAAAAGAAAAGAAAAAGGGGCAGUAAAGGAGAAAGACCUUAGAAAGCAGAGGAAGGAAAGACAAUUACAGUCCAGUAGUGGACAACAAUCAACUAGGAUUAGGUGUGUGUGGAGGGAGAGAUAUAAAGAAUUCAUUUCAAAGUCUUGUCCCCUACUGCAGUUAAUUGCCGAAGUCUUUGGGCAAAGUUUGGGCAACUAUACAGUCCCGACACUGCUGAAACCGGUCCAAGUGUGUGCAUGCCAGGUGAUGAUAUAAUGCUAGAAGUCUCUGCAUCUCCCUUCUUUUCAAAUACAAAGAACUAUUUCUCACCAGCAUGUGGGUUCCAGCCACAGCCAAUCAACGCGUCCAUCCAAAAGGCAGAAACACAGCAGGAAGAGGCUCUUCCUCACAUCCUCCUGUCUCACAGGUGCCAAACAUCAGACCCAGGUAAGUAACUUUGUCCACAAUUAAUUGCAUGAUAUUGGUUCCUAACAUCUUUCCUUAUCAUUAAUUGCCUCUUCCGUGAUUGUUAGGAUAAGCAAUGCACCAACAUAAAGACACGGAAAUGCAUUUUUUUUUACCACAGUUAAAAAAA